CUUGGAUCUUGUCAGAUGCAUUCUGAGCAACUCUUAUGUCUCACAUCCCAGACACAUCUUCAGCUAAGAUAAAAAUUAUAUGGGGGAGAAUCUGGUACUCUCUAGACCUGAAAUUCUGGGGGCUGUUUUAUUUUUCAUUUCUCUGUGAUUUAUAAAUUUAAAACCUAUACUUUAUUUUUUCUGUGGAACAGUAUAUUGAGCCUUAAAACUAAUAUUAAACUGUCUUAAAAUAAUUUAAAAUAGUAUCUUAUUUGAUCCCACUACAUUCUUGUUGAGAACAUCUUACAAUAUCCAUUUUGUAUAUGAGUAAGCUAAUUCCUUAGAGAUCAAGUAGUCUGUUUAAAGGCUCAUGAAUUUGUUAGUGUCUAAGUCUCCUGACUCUUUGUACAACAUUCUUUGCAUUUUGUGGCACUGCUUUAUUGUUGUUAUUAAAACCCAUCUUUAGGCUUGCAUUCAUCUGCAUUUCUGCACAUCUUCUGAGAUGCUCCAUUUCAAGCCAAUAUUCUGUUUUUAAAAAAUGAUCUUAAGUACAGCUUUAAUCAAACAUUUACAUUGUUAAUACACUUCAAAGUCCAUUUUCUUUCCCUAACUAAAACAUACCCUGAGUGAGUAGAUAUUAGCUAUGCUUCUACUUAGUCAAGGAUACCAAGUGUAAAAGAGCAAUAGAAUUUCAUGUAGCUGGCAGAGGCAAUAGAUUCACGACAUCCUGACAGUCAAAUCUAAGCUCCUAGGUCAACUCUUACAGCUUAAAUGACUUCAGGGGUCAGACAAAAAUAUUAACAAGUGAAGUAUACAAGGGUUGCUGCAAAAUAGGAUCUUAAUAGUAUUCUUUGGACAGAGACACACCUUGAAUAUUAGACACAUAGGAAUAGAUUUCACGAGAUGUGCUGUCACUUUAUUUUCCCUUUUAGGAGGAAGAGAAUAACAAUCAAGCAUGGUAAUGGAUGCUAGUUCUACAAUGUGGCUGUGGAACUAUUCAGUUCAAGAAUAACAUGUUCAUUGACCCCUUUCCCCCAGUAAGAAACAAACUAACAACAACAAGAAGAAAGCUGAAGAAGAAGAAGAAGAAGAAGAAGAAGAAGAAGAAGAAGAAGAAGAAAGAAAGAAGAAAGAAAGAAAGAAAGAAAGAAAGAAAGAAAGAAAGAAAGAAAAGACAAAGAGUAAAAGAAGUUAUUUCCUCCCUUCAUCAAUGAUAAAAGUACUGUUUUUAAAUUCUGAAAUACUUAACAUAUGGUUCUGUUUAACUGGCAGAUCUGUGGCAUUGUACAGAGGAGAUCUAAAGAAAAUCCUCCCUUUUGGAACAAACAGAAACAGUUGGUGCCUUGGGGAAGUAAACAACCGCUAUUGUCAUGGCCAGUUAUAAAUCAGAUAAAUUGUUGCUUGCACCUUACUUUUUUGUUAAAUAACUUGAGAAUGUCAUUGCAGCCUAACUUCCUUUUAUGACUUUGGAUUUUUAAAAAUUUCAUUUCUAGAAGAAAGGAUUUAAAACAAUGGUAUGAUAAGAAAGGGUUUAACCAAUUCAUUAAAUAAGGAAAUAAAAUCCUCAAUAAAAGACA
Molecule: long non-coding RNA, 1556 nt
Organism: Vulpes vulpes (red fox)
Lineage: Eukaryota; Metazoa; Chordata; Mammalia; Carnivora; Canidae
Source: Ensembl